GCUGCUGAUUCACCCACUGCCCACCUGCCAGCCCUUUUUACCAGCCCACUGAGUCACACAGGUUGCCAAGAGGCUGAGAAUCCGAGAAUCGAGGCCCCGCCCCAGCUGCUCCUGCUGGCUCCGUGCCUGGCAGGAUCCGGCACUGCCAAGGGCACCGCCAGCCCCCCUCCUAUGGCUGCCGAGGACAGCUUCCUGCCCCUUUGGGCCUGCCCCCAUGCCCGUCUCGACAAUGAGCCCAACGUCUAACUUUAAGGAUUAGGGCAGCAGCUACGAGCUGGGGCUCUGGGUAGACAGAGUCCAGGCUCAAACCCCCAGCCUGCUACUUGCUGACCCUCGUCCUGGCCUACAUAUGGGGAUGACCUCCACCUCCAAAAGCUUGAAAUAUUGGAUGGAAACACUGAGGAUAGGGCCUGACUAGGACCCUCCAAGUCAGGGACAACUGGCACUUCAGAAAAUGCAAUCGAAAAUCCUCCCAGCAAAUUCAAACUGCCAUAAAAGUCUCUGAACAAUUUCAAUUUAUCCCAUGUCCCUGAGGACCAGCAAUAAUCUGUAGCAUUCAGCCCACAUGGAUUGAUUGAGCCCCUGCUAGGUGUCAGGCCAGGUGCAGGUACCAGCGAUACACCAGGGAACAAAAGAGGGAGCAAUCACCUUCUGGUCUAGGGGCGUAAGAAGUAAAAUGCAUGUUGGAAGAAAAACACGUGGAUUCAACUCAGGCCGGGCGCCAGGCGACACCGUCUGUCUUCACAGCUGGUGGGCCCCACCACCAUCUGCCUUCCUCAGAGGGGAAGAGACAUUUCCUGCCACCUGCGGAGGGCUCCCUGCUGGUGACGGCACCAGGGACUUCAGGAAUACUUCACACACCUUGACAUCCAUGAGUCCACAGGGAAGUUGAGGGAACCACCUGUCUGGGAUCCUUUAUAGGUAGAGGGCCUCCCGGACAAGGGAAGGUCUGCACUCCACAGGAUCCCAAAGGAGGGGUACGUUUCUGGACUCAGAACUCAGGGGCCAGGACGACGCCCUCCCCACCGCAGCUCACACACACAGGUCAGCUCCUGUGGCCUUGUGGCCCUGCCCCGUCCUCUCCCCGGCUGCCCGCGGGGCUGGGGCUCACCCCGUCCGCCCGCACACUCGGCGGGACCACCAGCAUAAACGCGGGCAGAGGCUGCACCCCGCCUGGGGCCGAGGACAGGAGUGCGCCCGGCCUGCAGCUCCCCGCCCCCGCUCCGGGCACUGCCGCCGCCACCCGGGCCUGGGCCAUUGUCUGCGCCGCCCUUGCCCCGCCCCUCCUCCUGCCGCGCACGAGUGAGGGGCGGCUGGGCAGAGUGGGCAGAGGCGCGGCCCGGGAGCAACGGAGCCGGAGCCGCGGCUCCCAAAUCCAACGUGGGUGCCCGGCACAGGGCUGAGGAUGCCACGCAAGCCUCCUCCCAAGGCCGGAGUGGUACCCGUGUUGCGGAUACAAUGAGACACUGCAGCCCAAGGCCAGGCACAGGGAAGGCGCUACAGCCUGGCUGUCCACAGCACCCCACGAAAGUGGGGGAGGGCCUGGGAGUUAAUCUGCAGAGCACAGCCCCGAGCGGCCACUGACCCCAGGUCCCCAGCCUCCCAGCGCGAUGCCUUCUCCUAGGACCUACUCUCUGUCCUGUAUUUCUUCACCAUGGUCUCAUCUUCUCAGAUUUGAACCAAGUUGGGUGUUGUCUCCUCGCAACUGGAAGGUGAGACCUUUGUCUAUCCGCGUGGUGCUCCGAGCUGGGCUGGGGAUGCGGCAAGGGGGUCACAGCGCCACCUGCUGUUCCUGACGGCACACCCUCAGACCGCACUCAGGCCACAACCCGGCGCUGGGGGCCUCUGCCCCUGAUGGGUGCCGGAGACCUCCCCAGACCCCAACUGCUCCCCCAGCCCUCUGGGCACCUGGGGACCUGGCCUUCGGGGCAAGAAGCACUCCAGUGCUCCUGUUAUGGGUUGAACUGUGUCCCCAAAAAGCUAACCCAGCACCUGUGAAUAA
This is a long non-coding RNA of Zalophus californianus (California sea lion), 2002 nucleotides long. RefSeq lists it as uncharacterized. The transcript has 6 exons. Lineage: Eukaryota; Metazoa; Chordata; Mammalia; Carnivora; Otariidae. The record is from RefSeq and is a predicted model, not a curated record.